GUGCUCACUUCAUCAGCACAUAUACUACAAUUGGAAAGAUACCGAGAUUAGUAUGGCCCCUGUGCAAGAAUGACAUGCAAACUCGUGAAAUGUUCCAUAUUUUA
Grammomys surdaster is the source of this 104-nucleotide small nuclear RNA. The record is from RefSeq and is a predicted model, not a curated record. NCBI's taxonomy places the organism in Eukaryota, Metazoa, Chordata, Mammalia, Rodentia, Muridae.